RNAcentral lists this unclassified non-coding RNA (520 nucleotides) under uncultured Glomus. Its description in RNAcentral is "SSU rRNA". It matches the Rfam family "Eukaryotic small subunit ribosomal RNA", at positions 569 to 1094 of the family's 1831-position model. Lineage: Eukaryota; Fungi; Glomeromycota; Glomeromycetes; Glomerales; Glomeraceae. The record is from RNAcentral.
AGCAGCCGCGGUAAUUCCAGCUCCAAUAGCGUAUAUUAAAGUUGCUGCAGUUAAAAGCUCGUAGUUGAAUUUCGGGACUAAUAUGUCGGUCGUGCCUCGGUACGUACUGGUUUAUUGGUUUCUCCUUUCUGAAGAACCAUGAUGUCAUUUAUUUGGUGUCGUGGGGAAUCAGGACUGUUACUUUGAAAAAUUAGAGUGUUUAAAGCAGGCUCACGCUUGGAUACAUUAGCAUGGAAUAAUGAAAUAGGACGUUUGAUUCUAUUUUGUUGGUUUCUAGGAUCGACGUAAUGAUUAAUAGGGAUAGUUGGGGGCAUUAGUAUUCAAUUGUCAGAGGUGAAAUUCUUGGAUUUAUUGAAGACUAACUACUGCGAAAGCAUUUGCCAAGGAUGUUUUCAUUAAUCAAGAACGAAAGUUAGGGAUCGAAGACGAUCAGAUACCGUCGUAGUCUUAACCAUAAACUAUGCCGACUAGGGAUCGGAUGAUGUUAAUUUUUAAUGUACUCUAUUCGGCGUCCGUUAAC